CAGAGGGUAGUUUAGAUAAAAUAUUAAUUUUGGGGAUUAAUGAGAAGAGUAAUCUUUCCUCUGA
RNAcentral lists this transfer RNA (64 nucleotides) under Psorodonotus venosus. Its description in RNAcentral is "tRNA-Pro". The record is from RNAcentral. Lineage: Eukaryota; Metazoa; Arthropoda; Insecta; Orthoptera; Tettigoniidae.